UUCUUCUGCCGAUUCACAGAGUGCGAGAGACUCAGGCGGGAAGAAGCAAAAGGGUUCACAGGCAGGAAAUCGUUGCAGCAUCAGGAAAAGCCUGUUGCAUAGAAGCGACAGUGAACAACCAGAAAAUAAGUAAACCGACAAGGUACUUGAACAUUCAACUGGGCCACAUUUACUUCAACAAUGUAACACGUGCAACAUGUGCUUGGACCGUCAUCACAGUAGUCAAGAGCACCUCAAUCUUUCUAUUACACGUUUUUCUAUUCCAGGUUAACUGUUGUUUUUAUUUCUGCCACAAUUCAUCAGUGUUAGUCCAUCUGCAAUUGGUAAUAGUUUGUCUUCAGUUGAUCAACCAUGAUUGUGCAACAGAAAUUUGGAAUCAUAUGUUUAACUAAAGCAUACUUAUUAUUUGAAAAUUAGGCAACUGCAAUGCACAGUUAUGUGUCCUUUAACCAUACAGUAUCUAUCAGAAUGUUUACCAAUAUUUUAUUAUUGCAAUUGCACACUUAUUUUUUUGCUUGAUCUUUCAUUUCAGUAACAGCAUUGAAAUUUGAAACCUUGACACCUGAAAAUUUCUCUGUCCUCUGUAUCGUAUCCACUGGCAUGGAUAACAAGAUUCUAGCUUAAUGCAAAAUGUAUGUCUUUUGCUCAAUUUUUCACUUUGUAAUCAGCAUUGAAGCCUUGAAAUGACCGGUGACAUGGCCCCACACCUCAGACUAUGAUUCCCUUCUUUGGAGGACAACGGUUAAUCAGCAUUGAAGCCUUGAAAUGACCCGUGCCAUAGCCCCACAUCCCAGACUCUAGAUUCCCUUCUUUGGAGGACAAAGGUCCCCAUCCUGAGGUACUGGGUACGUACCGGGCUGAGCAGUUGAGGCUGAGAAAUUGAUUUGUUUUGAACCAACAUUACAAACCACACCCAUAAAGCACUGCACAAAGCGAGUAAGAGAACUUUGUUCGUGAUAUUGCUUUGUUUAUGAGUACUUUCUAUGGGAAAUCCCUGAUCAGAGCACUCACAACCUGAAAUUCCCGAGGGAAGAAGCCCUUGCAAAGCAAACUGCCAGGGCUCUGCUUGUUUAAAGCAUGCAUUUGCUUUCAUCUGACAAGAGAUCCAGGCAAGUUGUAAAAAUAAAGGAAGUCAAAAAGAGGACAGGGUGCUGGACCAUGCAACCCAAGGCUCAAAAUUCAUGAAUGGAAAGCAGAUUUCAAGUA
Nymphaea colorata (pocket water lily) is the source of this 1206-nucleotide long non-coding RNA. RefSeq lists it as uncharacterized. The transcript has 2 exons. The record is from RefSeq and is a predicted model, not a curated record. Lineage: Eukaryota; Viridiplantae; Streptophyta; Magnoliopsida; Nymphaeales; Nymphaeaceae.